AAUGUAUUUCCUCCAUCCCGAAAUUCUUGUCUUAAAUUUGUCUAGAUACGGAUGUAUCUAAUACUAAAACAUGACUUGAUACAUCCGUAUGUAGACAAAUUAGAUACAUACAUAUCUAGACAAAUGUAAGACAAUAAUUUUGGGACGGAGUGAGUAGAAU
This is a non-coding RNA of Triticum aestivum (bread wheat), 160 nucleotides long. The record is from Rfam. Lineage: Eukaryota; Viridiplantae; Streptophyta; Magnoliopsida; Poales; Poaceae.